UUGCUGAUAAAACAGGUUGCAGUGAUGGCC
Molecule: non-coding RNA, 30 nt
Filed under: Homo sapiens (human)
Lineage: Eukaryota; Metazoa; Chordata; Mammalia; Primates; Hominidae
Source: RNAcentral